RNAcentral lists this transfer RNA (66 nucleotides) under Raoultella sp. Its description in RNAcentral is "tRNA-Ser". The record is from RNAcentral. Lineage: Bacteria; Pseudomonadati; Pseudomonadota; Gammaproteobacteria; Enterobacterales; Enterobacteriaceae.
CCAUUUGAAUCAGUGGGCGGACUGUUAAUCCGUAUGUCACUGGUUCGAGUCCAGUCAGAGGAGCCA